This 398-nucleotide ribosomal RNA is filed under the name uncultured euryarchaeote. RNAcentral describes it as "bacterial SSU rRNA". It matches the Rfam family "Archaeal small subunit ribosomal RNA", at positions 348 to 745 of the family's 1478-position model. The record is from RNAcentral. Lineage: Archaea; Methanobacteriati; Methanobacteriota.
CUUUACAAUGCACGAAGUGUGAUAAGGCAACUCCUUGUGCUUAUCCAAAGACAGGCCUUUUAGUAUGUAAUGUAUACUAAGAAUAAGUGAUGGGCGAAGACCGGUGCCAGCAGCCGCGGUAAUACCGGCGUCACAAGUGGAGAUCACGAUUACUGGGUCUAAAGUAGUUCGUAGCUGGUCAUAUAAGUCUCGUGUGAAAGUUACUGCAGCUUAACUCAGAAUUGCAAGAGAUACUGUAUGACUUGAGACCGGAAGAGGUGUAAGUAUGAAUUGGGUAGCGGUAAAAUAGCUAUAAUACCUUUUCUAGACUAACUAAGGCAAAGGACAUUACACUAAGACGGAUCUGACAGUGAGGAACGAGAGCUGGGGGAGCGAACCGGAUUAGAUACCCGCGUAGU